This is a non-coding RNA of Pelobates cultripes (western spadefoot toad), 225 nucleotides long. Lineage: Eukaryota; Metazoa; Chordata; Amphibia; Anura; Pelobatidae. The record is from the annotation of a GenBank genome assembly.
CAAGAAUGAGGGGAGUCAUAGACAACUAUUACAAAAGACUGCACGCUGUCAUAGAUGCUAAAAGGGGCAAUACACAGUAUAAGAACUAUGGGUAUGCAGACUUUUGAACAGGGGUCAUUUCCUUUUUUUUUCUUUGUUGCCAUGGUUUGUUUUAUAAUUGUACCAUUCUAUUAUAACCUACAGUUGAAUAUGACUCCCAUAAGAAAUAAAAGAAAUGUGUUUUGC